Equus asinus (donkey) is the source of this 1379-nucleotide long non-coding RNA. The record is from Ensembl. NCBI's taxonomy places the organism in Eukaryota, Metazoa, Chordata, Mammalia, Perissodactyla, Equidae.
UGAGACGUCAACUUCCUUUUAGUCAGAACAGCUCUGCUUUUGCGUCAGCAAAAAAAUAACGCUUUUUAAAAGACUUAAGAGAUUGUCAUGAGUCACCAUUUCUGAGGCAUAUAGCCACGCCUGUGACCUGCGGCAAGGGUGCAGCUGGAGGUGCCACCCCUGGUGACAGGGUCCUUAGGGUUGGGGUGAGCAGAGAGGGUGGGGACUGCUCUGGGCUCUGCAGGGUGGGCAGGGAGCUGGGCAGGCCCUGAGAGACGCGCCCUUAGCUGGUUCCUGGUUCCGGGCCCCAGGGCAGGACGGGGAGCCAGGUGUGCGGAGGCAGAUACACGUGUCCUUGUGAGCAAUAUGUUGGCUUUUUCACAUCCAAGAGUUCCUCCCUUGACCUCCGAACUACCACCGGCAUUCUCCGCGGACAGUAGGACCCAGAUCUCUCAGAAGCGUGUUUCCCACCUGCUGCAUAGCCAGUCCGCAGCAUUGAAGUUCCAUUCAUAGUCCAUACAGUGUCACUGCUGAUAGAUGUUAGGUCAUUUCAACUUCCCCUCUUGCAAAUAGCACCUCAGUGAACAUCCUUGAGCUGAUAUCUUUGUGCCCAGUGUGUAGGUUUCUCUGGAAUUGAUUCAGCAAGUAGAAUUGCUGGGUCAAUUAAUAAUACUUGGUAAUGAAUUAGUAUUCUAAUUUCCUCUGGUGGGUCAUUGUCCUUCUAAUUCUUUAGCAAUUCUUUUGCACAGCAAAACGGUCCCUCCAAUCGUUAGAGGAUUGCUAAACAAGGCUUAGGGAGUUCGGAGAGUUUGGGGGUGUGGCAAGGGGCUGAGGAGACGAGUUAAUUAAUUAAUGAUGUCUCUCUUCUUUGAAGCUGGUCUCGCUGAUCAGUUUUCCUCGUGUUCUGACGUGGAGGCAGGGGGCUGGUUUACUGGCCCAUCUCCCAAACUUUUGUGGGAACUGCUAACACCCAGGGAAUUGAUUGCUGGGGGGAGGAGGGGCCGUAAUAUCACUCUCUCCUAUGUGAGCACAAAAUUUUAGCCCUGCUAACGCUGCGUGGCCGUGGUUGGCUAUUCUAAGCCUCAGUUUCCCCAGCCUCUGGCAGAUCUAGGGCUCUCGAGGCAGACUGGCUGCGCUGGCAGGAAGGGACAGCGUUAUAAUAAAGCGCCCUUGUGAUAACAGUGCAAGCUCUCCCUCUUGGGAGGCUUUUUGAGCCUCAGUUUCCUCCUCUGUAUAAAGAAACCAAACAGCCCCUAUCUUUAGAGCUUUACAGAAGACGAUGAAGGCAAAGCUCUUCACACAGUGCCUGGCACGAAGUAAGAACGCAAUAAAUCAUCACGUUUGUUAUUAUUAUCGAAAUACCACGCAGAUAUUAGGGCUCAGAGAGGGCUCGAGACUCA